GAUGAACGCUGGCGGCGUGCCUAACACAUGCAAGUCGAACGGUAGCAGGCCUUCGGGCGCUGACGAGUGGCGGACGGGUGAGUAACGCGUAGGAAUCUGCCUGGUAGUGGGGGACAACGUGGGGAAACUCACGCUAAUACCGCAUACGCCCUACGGGGGAAAGCGGGGGCUCUUCGGACCUCGCGCUAACAGAUGAGCCUGCGUGGGAUUAGCUAGUUGGUAGGGUAAAGGCCUACCAAGGCGACGAUCCCUAGCUGGUCUGAGAGGACGAUCAGCCACACUGGGACUGAGACACGGCCCAGACACCUACGGGUGGCUG
RNAcentral lists this ribosomal RNA (319 nucleotides) under uncultured Pseudomonadota bacterium. RNAcentral describes it as "bacterial SSU rRNA". It matches the Rfam family "Bacterial small subunit ribosomal RNA", at positions 28 to 351 of the family's 1533-position model. Lineage: Bacteria; Pseudomonadati; Pseudomonadota. The record is from RNAcentral.